UGCGAUAAGCGCCGGUAAGGUGAUAUGAACCGUUAUAACCGGCGAUUUCCGAAUGGGGAAACCCAGUGUGAUUCGUCACACUAUCAUUAACUGAAUCCAUAGGUUAAUGAGGCGAACCGGGGGAACUGAAACAUCUAAGUACCCCGAGGAAAAGAAAUCAACCGAGAUUCCCCCAGUAGCGGCGAGCGAACGGGGAGGAGCCCAGAGCCUGAAUCAGCAUGUGUGUUAGUGGAAGCGUCUGGAAAGGCGCGCGAUACAGGGUGACAGCCCCGUACACAAAAGCGCAUGUGCUGUGAGCUCGAUGAGUAGGGCGGGACACGUGGUAUCCUGUCUGAAUAUGGGGGGACCAUCCUCCAAGGCUAAAUACUCCUGACUGACCGAUAGUGAACCAGUACCGUGAGGGAAAGGCGAAAAGAACCCCGGCGAGGGGAGUGAAAAAGAACCUGAAACCGUGUACGUACAAGC
This 465-nucleotide ribosomal RNA is filed under the name Salmonella enterica subsp. enterica serovar Newport. RNAcentral's name for it is "partial 23S ribosomal RNA". It matches the Rfam family "Bacterial large subunit ribosomal RNA", at positions 67 to 571 of the family's 2925-position model. Lineage: Bacteria; Pseudomonadati; Pseudomonadota; Gammaproteobacteria; Enterobacterales; Enterobacteriaceae. The record is from RNAcentral.